This 299-nucleotide signal recognition particle RNA is filed under the name Cebus imitator (Panamanian white-faced capuchin). RNAcentral describes it as "Metazoan signal recognition particle RNA (ENSCCAG00000002969.1)". It matches the Rfam family "Metazoan signal recognition particle RNA". From Rfam's summary of the family: The signal recognition particle (SRP) is a universally conserved ribonucleoprotein. It is involved in the co-translational targeting of proteins to membranes. The eukaryotic SRP consists of a 300-nucleotide 7S RNA and six proteins: SRPs 72, 68, 54, 19, 14, and 9. Lineage: Eukaryota; Metazoa; Chordata; Mammalia; Primates; Cebidae. The record is from RNAcentral.
ACUGGGUGCAGUGGCAUGUGCCUGUAGUCCCAGCUACUUGGGAGGCUGAGGUGGGAGGAUUGCUUGAGCCCAGGAGUUCUGGGCUGUAGUGUGCCAUGCCAAUCAGGUGUCUGCACUAAGUUGGGCAUCAGUAUGGUGACCUCCCGGCAGCAGGGGACCACCAGUUUGCCUAAGGAGGGGUGAACUGGCCCAGGUCAGAAACGGAGCAGGUCAAAACUCCCGUGCUGAUCAGUAGUGGGAUUGCGCCUGUGAAUAGCCACUGCAGUCCAGCCUGGGCAACAUAGCAAGACCCCGUCUCU